RNAcentral lists this long non-coding RNA (418 nucleotides) under Bos taurus (domestic cattle). RNAcentral describes it as "long non-coding RNA NONBTAT005692". Lineage: Eukaryota; Metazoa; Chordata; Mammalia; Artiodactyla; Bovidae. The record is from RNAcentral.
CUGAUAAGGCGUUGUUUCCAGGGACUUUUUCCCCCCUCUUGAAAAGACAUUUUCAUUGUGGCUGGAAAGAAAUCAGAAACGUUGCUCCUGGCUUAUUAUCUGGUGGCUCCUAAACACCUUGUCCAGGUCAUGACUGUGAGCAUCUCAAGGGCAGGAAGGAAGCUUUAGUGUGAAUGAAUGUAGGGCCCUGGCCUGCUGUGUGGCAAGAAAAAGCUAAGCCCAGUAUCUCAGGAGUGGAAUUGGGCCUGUUGGAGAAAUCAGUGAGGCCAGUGAUGGAUCUCCUGUUCUAGAGUUUUUCACCUUUUCAGGCUGCCUGCCCCACUCCGGGCCCACCUACCAGCCGAGAACACAGGCAAGUCCACAUGUCCAGUCCCCACUCACCUGAGGUUCAAGCUGGGGCCUCUGACCCAUCUGGCCA